UGUAGUCUGUUACAACUAUGGGAUAGUAGACAUGCCUACCAAAUGUAUGCCCGUUUUGGUCAUACCGGUAUCGGUUGUAUUGUCUUU
Schizosaccharomyces osmophilus is the source of this 87-nucleotide small nucleolar RNA. RefSeq annotates it as small nucleolar RNA snR191. The record is from RefSeq and is a predicted model, not a curated record. Lineage: Eukaryota; Fungi; Ascomycota; Schizosaccharomycetes; Schizosaccharomycetales; Schizosaccharomycetaceae. The transcript has a single exon.